UACGUAGGGUGCGAGCGUUAUUCGGAAUUACUGGGCGCAAAGCGUGCGCAGGCGGUUUUGUAAGUCAGAUGUGAAAUCCCCGGGCUUAACCUGGGAACUGCGUUUGUGACUGCAAGACUCGAGUACGGCAGAGGGGGGUGGAAUUCCACGUGUAGCAGUGAAAUGCGUAGAGAUGUGGAGGAACACCGAUGGCGAAGGCAGCCCCCUGGGUCGAUACUGACGCUCAUGCACGAAAGCGUGGGGAGCAAACAGG
RNAcentral lists this ribosomal RNA (253 nucleotides) under uncultured bacterium. Its description in RNAcentral is "partial 16S ribosomal RNA". It matches the Rfam family "Bacterial small subunit ribosomal RNA", at positions 524 to 776 of the family's 1533-position model. The record is from RNAcentral.